GAUUAACGCUGGCGGCGUGCAUAACACAUGCAAGUCGAACGAUGAAACUUUAAUGAACCCUUCGGGGAGAAUUAAAGCGGAUUAGUAGCGAACGGGUGAGUAACGCGUGAGUAACCUGCCUUACACAAGGGGAUAGCCUUUGGAAACGAAGAAUAAUACCCUAUAACACCAUAAAAGCACAUGCAAUUAUGGUCAAAGUGAUAGCGGUGUAAGAUGGACUUGCGUCUGAUUAGCUAGUUGGUGAGAUAAAAGCCCACCAAGGCAACGAUCAGUAGCCGGCUUGAGAGAGUGUACGGCCACAUUGGGACUGAGACACGGCCCAGACUCCUACGGGAGGCAGCAGUGGGGAAGUUUGCACAAUGGGGGAAACCCUGAUGCAGCGACGCCGCGUGAUUUAGAAGGCCUUCGGGUUGUAAAAAUCUUUUGUAUAGGAAGAAAAUGACAGUACUAUACGAAUAAGGUCCGGCUAAUUACGUG
RNAcentral lists this ribosomal RNA (477 nucleotides) under uncultured bacterium. Its description in RNAcentral is "partial 16S ribosomal RNA". It matches the Rfam family "Bacterial small subunit ribosomal RNA", at positions 28 to 507 of the family's 1533-position model. The record is from RNAcentral.